CCUACGGGAGGCAGCAGUGAGGAAUAUUGGUCAAUGGCCGGAAGUCUGAACCAGCCAUUCCGCGUGCAGGAAGACGGCUCUAUGAGUUGUAAACUGCUUUUGUACAAGGGUAAAUCUGCGUACGUGUAUUCCGCUGAUAGUACUGUACGAAUAAGGAUCGGCUAACUCCGUGCCAGCAUCCGCGGUAAUACGGAGGAUCCAAGCGUUAUCCGGAUUUAUUGGGUUUAAAGGGUGCGUAGGCGGGUUUAUAAGUGAGUGGUGAAAUGUCCGAGCUUAACACGGGAACUGCCUCUAAAACUGUUGAACUAGAGAGUAGAUGCGGAAGGCGGAAUGUAAGGUGUAGCGGUGAAAUGCUUAGAGAUCAUACAGAACACCGAUUGCGAAGGAAGCUUACCAAACAAUAUCGGACGUUGAGGCACGAAAGCGUGGGGAGCAAACAGGAUUAGAUACCCUUGUAGUC
Molecule: ribosomal RNA, 460 nt
Filed under: uncultured bacterium
Lineage: Bacteria
Description: partial 16S ribosomal RNA
Rfam family: Bacterial small subunit ribosomal RNA
Source: RNAcentral